RNAcentral lists this ribosomal RNA (252 nucleotides) under uncultured bacterium. RNAcentral's name for it is "partial 16S ribosomal RNA". It matches the Rfam family "Bacterial small subunit ribosomal RNA", at positions 524 to 776 of the family's 1533-position model. The record is from RNAcentral.
UACGUAGGGCGCAAGCGUUUGUCCGGAAUUAUUGGGCGUAAAGAGCUCGUAGGCGGCCUGUUACGUCUGCUGUGAAAUCCCGGGGCUUAACCCCGGGCGUGCAGUGGAUACGGGCAGGCUGGAGGCAGGCAGGGGAGAACGGAAUUCCCGGUGUAGCGGUGAAAUGCGCAGAUAUCGGGAGGAACACCGGUGGCGAAGGCGGCGACCUGGACGGACACUGACGCUGAGACGCGAAAGCGUGGGAGCAACAGG